RNAcentral lists this ribosomal RNA (301 nucleotides) under uncultured bacterium. RNAcentral's name for it is "partial 16S ribosomal RNA". It matches the Rfam family "Bacterial small subunit ribosomal RNA", at positions 509 to 809 of the family's 1533-position model. The record is from RNAcentral.
CAGCAGCCGCGGGAAAACGAAGGGUGCAAGCGUUAAUCGGAAUUACUGGGCGUAAAGCGUGCGUAGGCGGUUGUGUAAGACAGGUGUGAAAUCCCCGGGCUUAACCUGGGAACUGCGCUUGUGACUGCACAGCUAGAGUAUGGCAGAGGGGGGUGGAAUUCCACGUGUAGCAGUGAAAUGCGUAGAGAUGUGGAGGAACACCGAUGGCGAAGGCAGCCCCCUGGGCCAAUACUGACGCUCAUGCACGAAAGCGUGGGGAGCAAACAGGAUUAGAUACCCCGGUAGUCCCUGUCUCUUAUAA